UGGGGAAUAUUGCACAAUGGGCGCAAGCCUGAUGCAGCCAUGCCGCGUGUGUGAAUAAGGCCUUCGGGUUGUAAAGCACUUUCAGCGGGGAGGAAGGCGGUGAGGUUAAUAACCUUAUCAAUUGACGUUACCGACAGAAGAAGCACCGGCUAACUCCGUGCCAGCAGCCGCGGUAAUACGGAGGGUGCAAGCGUUAAUCGGAAUUACUGGGCGUAAAGCGCACGCAGGCGGUUGAUUGAGUCAGAUGUGAAAUCCCCGGGCUUAACCCGGGAAGUGCAUCUGAUAAUGGGGAGCUAGAGUCUUGUAGAGGGGGGUAGAAUUCCAUGUGUAGCGGUGAAAUGCGUAGAGAUGUGGAGGAAUAAAGGUGGCGAAGGCGGCCCCCUGGACAAAGAAUGACGCUCAGGUGCGAAAGAGUGGGGAGCAAACAGG
RNAcentral lists this ribosomal RNA (429 nucleotides) under Chloroflexota bacterium. Its description in RNAcentral is "Chloroflexi bacterium partial 16S ribosomal RNA". It matches the Rfam family "Bacterial small subunit ribosomal RNA", at positions 355 to 776 of the family's 1533-position model. The record is from RNAcentral. Lineage: Bacteria; Bacillati; Chloroflexota.